Pelobates cultripes (western spadefoot toad) is the source of this 1165-nucleotide non-coding RNA. The record is from the annotation of a GenBank genome assembly. Lineage: Eukaryota; Metazoa; Chordata; Amphibia; Anura; Pelobatidae.
ACAGUAAACUAAAUAAAGCGUGUAUGUAUAAUAUAUCGAUAUACACUUACUCUUACUUGUGAAGACCUUGCAACAUACAGUUGAAGAAUAUAUAUAUAAUAUACACACACUUUGUGUAUUUAAAAGAAAACCAAUAUAUGUGUAACACUGACAGGCUACCUCAUUCACAGGAUAGUAGCGAGUUAAUCAUGACCAUGUGGCAUUGUAUGUGUGAUCAGUAGUAGGGCCUGAAUAGCAAGCAAUUAGUUGUUGGGUUUUUUUUUUUUGUUUUGUUUUUUUACGUGCUAUGACUAACCCCGGAACGCUCAAUACUUCUAAGCUUUCUCUUAAUUACUAUUUCAACAUUUGGAAGGCAGAGUAAGCCUUUACUAGUUUGGAAUGUGUGGUGGGGAUUUAAUUCUCCUACCUUUCAGCCUGUUAAUAAUUUCAUAAACCAUUUAAUGUCAUGAGUAUGAAAGCACACUGCUUUGUAAUGCGCUGCUUGCUCUCUAGUAGUGAACAGGGUUUAAUUCAAGAAUAUGUAUAAUACCAGAUAAAGGCCAGUAUUGACAACAUAAAUAUGUCAGUGGAGUGGUUUUUUUUAAAUAUAAAGAACACUGUAGUGUUACAAAUUAGGAAACUGAGUCCCUCCUCUCCCUAUGGUAAAAAGGUAAUACUUUACUUUUAUCCCAUGCAGAAAAAAAAAAAUCACUAACUCAAAAGUAACAGGUGUAAUACGGCUACCCAUUUAACGUCUUUAUAGCUGGUGUAGACAGAGCUACUGGCUUCUACUAACCUAGGGGUACAAUAAAUAUCUGGUGUGAUGAAAACUGCUACUAAGGUAUGGUUUGCUCACCUCUUCCCACCCAUUUGUUUUUAUAUUUUCCGAGCUUAGUUAUGUAUUGGAUUUUUUUUUCUUAGUUUUUUAAGGUUUGUAAGACUUGCCUUUGUAAGUUCUUGUGAGCAUUUUUAUACUCUAAAAUCCUGUUUGGUUAGUUUUUCAUUCAAAGCUCCUCUGUAAACCUGCUCUGCUUUGUUUGUAUUAACUGUUCUGUACUUUGUUAUACAUUCCUAACUUUCAUAAACUAAUACAAAAGUUUGUCUUUGUGUGAUGGGUCUUAUUCCAGAAAAAUACAGGAAUGUAAAAGCAUAAAAAGAAUGUUCCUAAUUUGGAGACGGAUAUGGG